GCCGGUGAUUAUUGCGAAAGUGUUAUACCCGAUUCCAUUCCGAACUCGGAAGUCAAGCCUUUCUGCGCCGAUGGUACUUUGUCUUAAGAUAUGGAAGAGUAGGACAUCGCCGGCU
RNAcentral lists this ribosomal RNA (115 nucleotides) under Pelagibacterales bacterium SAG-MED38. Lineage: Bacteria; Pseudomonadati; Pseudomonadota; Alphaproteobacteria; Candidatus Pelagibacterales. The record is from RNAcentral.